Molecule: ribosomal RNA, 427 nt
Filed under: uncultured bacterium
Lineage: Bacteria
Description: partial 16S ribosomal RNA
Rfam family: Bacterial small subunit ribosomal RNA
Source: RNAcentral
GUGGGGAAUAUUGCGCAAUGGGGGAAACCCUGACGCAGCAAUACCGCGUGAGUGAAGAAGGUUUUCGGAUCGUAAAACUCUUUUAUUGGGGAAGAAGAAGUGACGGUACCCAAUGAAGAAGUCCCGGCUAACUACGUGCCAGCAGCCGCGGUAAUACGUAGGGGACAAGCGUUGUCCGGAAUCACUGGGCGUAAAGGGCGCGUAGGCGGUUUUAUAAGUCAGAUGUGAAAGGUACCGGCUCAACCGGUGACGUGCAUUUGAAACUGUAAGACUUGAGUACUGGAGAGGCAAGUGGAAUUCCUAGUGUAGCGGUGAAAUGCGUAGAUAUUAGGAGGAACACCGGUGGCGAAGGCGGCUUGCUGGACAGAUACUGACGCUGAGGUGCGAAAGCGUGGGGAGCGAACAGGAUUAGAUACCCCAGUAGUCC